GAUGAACGCUAGCGGCAGGCUUAACACAUGCAAGUCGAGGGGCAGCGCGGGAUAGCAAUAUCCUGGCGGCGACCGGCGGAAGGGUGCGUAACGCGUGAGCGACAUGCCCGUUGCCCGGGGACAACCGGUGGAAACGCCGACUAAUCCCCGAUGGGAUAUUGUGCCGCAUGGCACGAUAUUGAAAGUUACGGCGGCGACGGAUUGGCUCGCGUCCGAUUAGCUGGUUGGCGGGGUAACGGCCCACCAAGGCUGCGAUCGGUAGGGGUUCUGAGAGGAAGGCCCCCCACAAUGGGACUGAGACACGGCCAAUACUCCUACGGGAGGCAGCAGUGAGGAAGAUUGGUCAAUGGGCGGAAGCCUGAACCAGCCAUGCCGCGUGCGGGAAGGAGGCCCUAUGGGCUGUGAACCGCUUUUGCCUGGGGGCAAUAAGGGCGUCGCGCACGUCCGAUGAGAGUACCAGGCGAAUAAGCAUCGGCUAACUCCGUG
Molecule: ribosomal RNA, 486 nt
Filed under: uncultured bacterium
Lineage: Bacteria
Description: partial 16S ribosomal RNA
Rfam family: Bacterial small subunit ribosomal RNA
Source: RNAcentral